RNAcentral lists this ribosomal RNA (253 nucleotides) under uncultured bacterium. RNAcentral describes it as "partial 16S ribosomal RNA". It matches the Rfam family "Bacterial small subunit ribosomal RNA", at positions 524 to 776 of the family's 1533-position model. The record is from RNAcentral.
UACGUAGGGAGCAAGCGUUGUCCGGAAUCAUUGGGCGUAAAGCGCGCGUAGGUGGCCUCAUAAGUCCGCUGUGAAAGUCCAAGGCUCAACCUUGGAAAGCCGGUGGAUACUGUGAGGCUAGAGUACGGAAGAGGCGAGUGGAAUUCCUGGUGUAGCGGUGGAAUGCGCAGAUAUCAGGAGGAACACCAAUAGCGAAGGCAGCUCGCUGGGACGUGACUGACACUGAGGCGCGAAAGCGUGGGGAGCGAACAGG